RNAcentral lists this long non-coding RNA (1181 nucleotides) under Homo sapiens (human). Its description in RNAcentral is "HSALNT0185033". Lineage: Eukaryota; Metazoa; Chordata; Mammalia; Primates; Hominidae. The record is from RNAcentral.
GCCAUACGGCUCUGGGUACCCGGGGGAUGUCAGCUGCUGGGGUAGCUCUUGGGCCAAGAGGACGGAGCCCCGGGUUGGGCAAGCCUGGAGGACUCCCCAGAGAAGCAGCCACCACCUAACUCUUAGGGUCACCUGGAGCACCUUGGGAGCCAGAGAUGCAGCCAAAGAGUGAACAAUGGUACCAAUCCCAAGACCCAUGUGUUAAGAAGAAACCAGCCAAGACUCAGAUCAGGAUUGGGGAGUCCACCCCUCGUUUCCCUUCAGAGCAUUAUUUCCUUGUUUGCUAAGAGGGGCAGGAACUGGAAAACUCAGGCUAGCCCAUCUGAGAAGACUUUCCUGGAGAUGAGCUGGAGGAGGGAGGAGUAAGGCCUUGGAAGGAAACUCCAGGACAGCACCACCUCCCCUACACUGGGACCUCGUCUCUAACUGGCAGAGUGGUCAAUGAAAAAAAGGGCAUGCCUUGGCACAUCAUGGUCAAACUGCUAAAAGCCAAAGACAAGAGAAAAUCUUUUCUUUUUUUUAAUCCCAUCCUAAAGACUAGACAGAACAAUAUUUUCAAUGUCACUCUUUUCUCAUCAAAACCAAUAUAGACCAGAAGACAGUGGAAUAUCUCUAAAAUGCUGAAGGAAAAAAAAAGUCAACUCAGAAUUGUUUUUCUAGUGAAAGUAUUCUUCCAGAAUGAAGAUGAAAUAAAGCUAUUUUCAGAUAAAAGAAAACAGAGAUUCUUGUCGCCAGCAGACCUCCACUAUGAGAAGCGCUAAAGAAAGUUCUUUAGGACGGGCACGAUAGCUCACGCCUAUAAUCCCAGCAUUUUGGGAGGCCAAGGUGGGAGGAUUGCUUGAGCUCGGAAGAUGGAGGCUGCAGUGAGCCAUGACGGUGCCACUGCACUCCAGCUUGGGUGACAGAGUGAGACGCUGUCUCAAAUUGGAAGAGCAGAGCUGCAGACAGGAAUAAGAAGAACGGUAAAUUUGAAGGUAAAUAUAAAAUACGAUUUUCUUUUUAAUGUCUUUAAAAUAUGUAGAACUGUUCCAGGCAAAAAUUAUAACAUUGUAUUGUGAGGUUUAUAACAUAUGUAGCUGUAACAUAUAUGAAGACUGUAGUAUAAAGCAGGGGUCCCCAACCCCUGAGCCGUGGACCAGUAUUGGAGGUGAGUGGUGGUGAGCAAGCAAAGCUUCAUCUGU